RNAcentral lists this ribosomal RNA (492 nucleotides) under uncultured bacterium. RNAcentral's name for it is "partial 16S ribosomal RNA". It matches the Rfam family "Bacterial small subunit ribosomal RNA", at positions 29 to 507 of the family's 1533-position model. The record is from RNAcentral.
AGUGAACGCUGGCGGUAAGCCUAACACAUGCAAGUCGAACGGCAGCACAGUAAGAACUUGCUCUAACGGUUGGCGAGUAGCGGACGGGUGAGGAAUACAUCGGACUCUACUUUUUCGUGGAGGAUCACGUAGUGAAACUUACGCUAAUACCGCAUACGACAUACGGGUGAAAUCAGGGGAUCUUCGGACCUUGCGCGAUUGAAUGAGCCGAUGCCGGAUUAGCUAGUUGGCGGGGUAAAGGCCCACCAAGGCGACGGUCCGUAGCUGGUCUGAGAGGAUGGUCAGCCACACUGGAACUGAGACACGGUCCCGACUCCUACGGGAGGCAGCAGUGGGGAAUAUUGGACAAUGGGCGGAAGCCUGAUCCAGCCAUACCGCGUGGUUGAAGAAGGCUUUCGGGUUGUAAAGCCCUUUUGUUGGGAAAGAAAAGCAGCAGGUUAAUACCCCGCUGUUCUGACGGUACCCAAAGAAUAAGCACCGGCUAACUUCGUG